UACAGAGGUCUCAAGCGUUGUUCGGAUUCAUUGGGCGUAAAGGGUGCGUAGGCGGCGCGGUAAGUCGGGUGUGAAAUCUCGGGGCUUAACUCCGAAACUGCCCUUGAAACUGCAGUGCUAGAAUCUUGGAGAGGCGAGUGGAAUUCCGAGUGUAGAGGUGAAAUUCGUAGAUAUUCGGAAGAACACCAGUGGCGAAGGCGACUCGCUGGACAAGUAUUGACGCUGAGGUGCGAAAGCGUGGGGAGCAAACAGG
Molecule: ribosomal RNA, 253 nt
Filed under: uncultured bacterium
Lineage: Bacteria
Description: partial 16S ribosomal RNA
Rfam family: Bacterial small subunit ribosomal RNA
Source: RNAcentral